Molecule: ribosomal RNA, 370 nt
Filed under: uncultured bacterium
Lineage: Bacteria
Description: bacterial SSU rRNA
Rfam family: Bacterial small subunit ribosomal RNA
Source: RNAcentral
UACGGAGGAUCCGAGCGUUAUCCGGAUUUAUUGGGUUUAAAGGGUGCGUAGGCGGAUUUGUAAGUCAGUGGUGAAAUCCUGCAGCUUAACUGUAGAACUGCCAUUGAUACUGCAAGUCUUGAGUACAUAUGAUGUGGGCGGAAUGUGUAGUGUAGCGGUGAAAUGCUUAGAUAUUACACAGAACACCAAUUGCGAAGGCAGCUCACAAAACUGUAACUGACGCUGAGGCACGAAAGCGUGGGGAGUGAACAGGAUUAGAUACCCUGGUAAUCCACGCCUUAAACGAUGAUUACUCGAUGUGUGCGAUACACAGCACGCGUCCUAGCGAAAGCGUUAAGUAAUCCACCUGGGGAGUACGAUCGCAAGGUUG